AGAAGCGCAUACGGUGGAUGCCUUGGCAGUCAGAGGCGAUGAAAGACGUGGUAGCCUGCGAAAAGCUUCGGGGAGUCGGCAAACAGACUGUGAUCCGGAGAUGUCUGAAUGGGGGAACCCAGCCAUCAUAAGAUGGUUAUCUUGUACUGAAUACAUAGGUGCAAGAGGCGAACCAGGGGAACUGAAACAUCUAAGUACCCUGAGGAAAAGAAAUCAACCGAGAUUCCCUUAGUAGUGGCGAGCGAACGGGGACCAGCCCUUAAGUUGUAUUGAGAUUAGCGGAACGUUCUGGAAAGGACGGCCAUAGUGGGUGAUAGCCCUGUACGCGAAAAUCCCUUUGCAAUGAAAUCGAGUAGGACGGGGCACGAGAAACCUUGUCUGAAUAUGGGGGGACCAUCCUCCAAGGCUAAAUACUACUGACUGACCGAUAGUGAACCAGUACCGUGAGGGAAAGGCGAAAAGAACCGCGGAGAGCGGAGUGAAAUAGAUCCUGAAACCGUAUGCGUACAAGCAGUGGGAGCCCACUUUGUUGGGUGACUGCGUACCUUUUGUAUAAUGGGUCAGCGACUUAUUUUCAGUGGCGAGCUUAACCGAAUAGGGGAGGCGUAGCGAAAGCGAGUCUUAAUAGGGCGUCUAGUCGCUGGGAAUAGACCCGAAACCGGGCGAUCUAUCCAUGGGCAGGUUGAAGGUUGGGUAACACUAACUGGAGGACCGAACCGACUACCGUUGAAAAGUUAGCGGAUGACCUGUGGAUCGGAGUGAAAGGCUAAUCAAGCUCGGAGAUAGCUGGUUCUCCUCGAAAGCUAUUUAGGUAGCGCCUCAUGUAUCACUGUAGGGGGUAGAGCACUGUUUCGGCUAGGGGGUCAUCCCGACUUACCAAACCGAUGCAAACUCCGAAUACCUACAAGUGCCGAGCAUGGGAGACACACGGCGGGUGCUAACGUCCGUCGUGAAAAGGGAAACAACCCAGACCGUCAGCUAAGGUCCCAAAGUCAUGGUUAAGUGGGAAACGAUGUGGGAAGGCUUAGACAGCUAGGAGGUUGGCUUAGAAGCAGCCACCCUUUAAAGAAAGCGUAAUAGCUCACUAGUCGAGUCGGCCUGCGCGGAAGAUGUAACGGGGCUCAAACCAUGCACCGAAGCUACGGGUAUCAUCUUAGGAUGAUGCGGUAGAGGAGCGUUCUGUAAGCCUGUGAAGGUGAGUUGAGAAGCUUGCUGGAGGUAUCAGAAGUGCGAAUGCUGACAUGAGUAACGACAAUGGGUGUGAAAAACACCCACGCCGAAAGACCAAGGUUUCCUGCGCAACGUUAAUCGACGCAGGGUUAGUCGGUCCCUAAGGCGAGGCUGAAAAGCGUAGUCGAUGGAAAACAGGUUAAUAUUCCUGUACUUCUGGUUAUUGCGAUGGAGGGACGGAGAAGGCUAGGCCAGCCUGGCGUUGGUUGUCCAGGUUUAAGGUGGUAGGCUGAGAUCUUAGGUAAAUCCGGGAUCUUAAGGCCGAGAGCUGAUGACGAGUGUUCUUUUAGAACACGAAGUGGUUGAUGCCAUGCUUCCAAGAAAAGCUUCUAAGCUUCAGGUAACCAGGAACCGUACCCCAAACCGACACAGGUGGUUGGGUAGAGAAUACCAAGGCGCUUGAGAGAACUCGGGUGAAGGAACUAGGCAAAAUGGCACCGUAACUUCGGGAGAAGGUGCGCCGGUGGAGGUGAAGCAUUUACUGCGUAAGCCCCUGCCGGUCGAAGAUACCAGGCCGCUGCGACUGUUUAUUAAAAACACAGCACUCUGCAAACACGAAAGUGGACGUAUAGGGUGUGACGCCUGCCCGGUGCCGGAAGGUUAAUUGAUGGGGUUAGCGCAAGCGAAGCUCUUGAUCGAAGCCCCGGUAAACGGCGGCCGUAACUAUAACGGUCCUAAGGUAGCGAAAUUCCUUGUCGGGUAAGUUCCGACCUGCACGAAUGGCGUAACGAUGGCGGCGCUGUCUCCACCCGAGACUCAGUGAAAUUGAAAUCGCUGUGAAGAUGCAGUGUAUCCGCGGCUAGACGGAAAGACCCCGUGAACCUUUACUAUAGCUUUGCACUGGACUUUGAAUUUGCUUGUGUAGGAUAGGUGGGAGGCUUUGAAGCGUGGACGCCAGUCUGCGUGGAGCCAACCUUGAAAUACCACCCUGGCAACUUUGAGGUUCUAACUCAGGUCCGUUAUCCGGAUCGAGGACAGUGUAUGGUGGGUAGUUUGACUGGGGCGGUCUCCUCCUAAAGAGUAACGGAGGAGUACGAAGGUGCGCUCAGACCGGUCGGAAAUCGGUCGUAGAGUAUAAAGGCAAAAGCGCGCUUGACUGCGAGACAGACACGUCGAGCAGGUACGAAAGUAGGUCUUAGUGAUCCGGUGGUUCUGUAUGGAAGGGCCAUCGCUCAACGGAUAAAAGGUACUCCGGGGAUAACAGGCUGAUACCGCCCAAGAGUUCAUAUCGACGGCGGUGUUUGGCACCUCGAUGUCGGCUCAUCACAUCCUGGGGCUGAAGCCGGUCCCAAGGGUAUGGCUGUUCGCCAUUUAAAGUGGUACGCGAGCUGGGUUUAGAACGUCGUGAGACAGUUCGGUCCCUAUCUGCCGUGGACGUUUGAGAUUUGAGAGGGGCUGCUCCUAGUACGAGAGGACCGGAGUGGACGAACCUCUGGUGUUCCGGUUGUCACGCCAGUGGCAUUGCCGGGUAGCUAUGUUCGGAAAAGAUAACCGCUGAAAGCAUCUAAGCGGGAAACUUGCCUCAAGAUGAGAUCUCACUGGAACCUUGAGUUCCCUAAAGGGCCGUCGAAGACUACGACGUUGAUAGGUUGGGUGUGUAAGCGCUGUGAGGCGUUGAGCUAACCAAUACUAAUUGCCCGUGAGGCUUGACC
RNAcentral lists this ribosomal RNA (2882 nucleotides) under Pseudomonas syringae pv. syringae. Its description in RNAcentral is "bacterial LSU rRNA". It matches the Rfam family "Bacterial large subunit ribosomal RNA". The record is from RNAcentral. Lineage: Bacteria; Pseudomonadati; Pseudomonadota; Gammaproteobacteria; Pseudomonadales; Pseudomonadaceae.